This 253-nucleotide ribosomal RNA is filed under the name uncultured bacterium. Its description in RNAcentral is "partial 16S ribosomal RNA". It matches the Rfam family "Bacterial small subunit ribosomal RNA", at positions 524 to 776 of the family's 1533-position model. The record is from RNAcentral.
UACGUAGGGUGCAAGCGUUGUCCGGAAUUAUUGGGCGUAAAGGGCUCGUAGGCGGUUUUGCAAGUGACGGGUGAAAUCCCUCGGCUUAACCGAGGAACUGCCUGUCAAACUGCAUGGCUUGAGACCAGGAGAGGUGAGUGGAAUUCCCAGUGUAGCGGUGAAAUGCGUAGAUAUUGGGAGGAACACCAGUGGCGAAGGCGGCUCACUGGACUGGUACUGACGCUGAUGCGCGAAAGCGUGGGGAGCAAACAGG